This 71-nucleotide transfer RNA is filed under the name Agrilus planipennis (emerald ash borer). It matches the Rfam family "tRNA". Rfam says of the family: Transfer RNA (tRNA) molecules are approximately 80 nucleotides in length. Lineage: Eukaryota; Metazoa; Arthropoda; Insecta; Coleoptera; Buprestidae. The record is from Rfam by way of RNAcentral.
CCUCUUGUAGCUUAGUAGUCAGAGUAUUGGUGCGUAAAGCCAAAGGUCCCGGGUUCGAUUCCCGGGGAGGG